RNAcentral lists this ribosomal RNA (264 nucleotides) under uncultured bacterium. RNAcentral's name for it is "partial 16S ribosomal RNA". It matches the Rfam family "Bacterial small subunit ribosomal RNA", at positions 793 to 1055 of the family's 1533-position model. The record is from RNAcentral.
GUCCACGCUGUAAACGAUGGAUACUAGCAUUCGGAGGUGUCGACCCCUUCGGUAGCGAAGCUAACGCGUUAAGUAUCCCGCCUGUGUAGUACGAGCGCAAGCUUAAAACAUAAAGGAAUUGACGGGGACCCGCACAAGCGGUGGAGCGUGUUCUUUAAUUCGAGGCUAAGCGAAGAACCUUACCAGGGUUUGACAUCCUGCGAAGUCCGUCGAAAGAUGGAUGUGCCUUCGGGAGCGCAGUGACAGGUGUUGCAUGGCCGUCGU